AACGGCCGUACCAUGCUGAAUAUACCGGUUCUCGUUAGAUCACCGAAGUUAAGCAUCAUUGGGCGCGGUCAGUGCUUGGGUGGGUGACCAUCUGGGAACACUGCGUGCCGUU
RNAcentral lists this ribosomal RNA (112 nucleotides) under Caerostris darwini. The record is from RNAcentral. Lineage: Eukaryota; Metazoa; Arthropoda; Arachnida; Araneae; Araneidae.